AUGGCAAGAGCAGCACUUACUAAACUUCUUCUCCUCGUGAUUCUUGCCUUCAUCAUCUGCCUCCCGGAAUUUUUCACAUUUUACCAAGUAACAAAAGUGAACUUCUUCUGCCGUCCGUACCGACCCUGCGAACAAGUAAAUCGGGUGAAGGAGGGGGAAAAUGCAAAGGCUGGAAAUGUUGACGCUAAGAGAGGCCAUAUGUGUGACCCAUCUCAGACUCCAGAUCAGGAAAAAUGGGAGCAGGCGUGCACACAAGAAGAUCAAAGCAAUGCAACAGAUUCGUCUUCAGACGUCAGGAGAGGCAUAAAUGAUCCAAAAGCGAGGUGGUUCAUGUGUGAGACAGACAUGGAAAUGGCAGAAGUACACAGAAAUAUCUCAACUUCAGCUUACGAGUCACGUCUGGAGGUGUCAGCUGAGCUUCGUCUGCCCAACGCAGAGACCCUGAAUCUCACCUUGUACGGCCGCAGCAAUCAGAGUUCCUUACACCUCUACCCACCUGAGGAGGAGGAGGAAGAGAAGGGUGGUGAUGAAGGACAGAGGAAGGCAUUCUACUGCUGUCUCCCUCUCCUGCCCAACUCUGAAUCGGCCAAUCAAAGCCGCUGUCUCCUUUGGUUCGCCAAUCAAACGGUUUGGAAUUCAACAGCAAAGGAAAAGCUGCCAUGGAAACGGAAACAAAAAGAUGAGUGGCAGUGUACGCUCAGAGUGGUCUGGCUGGCUCUGCUGUGUUUGGUGUUGCUGAGCAUAGUAACGAGUGUGAUCGGACAAAUCUACAAGAAAAGGCGUUUGUGCAGGAAGCCGAAGGUGCACCCUGAUGGCUUCAACUUAAUUACUCAGCAAUUAAAUGACGGUGCCAAAGAAAAAGAAGUCAGCCCUCCUGAAGCAGGGACAAACCUCCACUCAUACGGGUUUCAUACCUGGUCAGGACUCUCACCAAUUAAAGAAGUUGACAGUCAACAUGACAUAUCAACGUUGAUGGAUGGAAAUGCUGACCACUGCUAUACUGGUUUUCUGCAUCAUCGCAGCCAUCCCUCCGUCAGCUCCAUCAAAGACGAGCAGGCUCGAUGA
RNAcentral lists this long non-coding RNA (1065 nucleotides) under Oreochromis niloticus (Nile tilapia). RNAcentral's name for it is "lncRNA (ENSONIG00000030038.1)". Lineage: Eukaryota; Metazoa; Chordata; Actinopteri; Cichliformes; Cichlidae. The record is from RNAcentral.